GAUGAACGCUAGCUACAGGCUUAACACAUGCAAGUCGAGGGGAAACGAUAUUGGAAGCUUGCUUCCGAUAGGCGUCGACCGGCGCACGGGUGAGUAACGCGUAUCCAACCUGCCCACCACUUGGGGAUAACCUUGCGAAAGUAAGACUAAUACCCAAUGAUAUCUCUAGAAGACAUCUGAAGGAGAUUAAAGAUUCAUCGGUGAUGGAUGGGGAUGCGUCUGAUUAGCUUGUUGGCGGGGGAACGGCCCACCAAGGAGACGAUCAGUAGGGGUUAUGAAAGGAAGGUCCCCCACAUUGGAACUGAGACACGGUCCAAACUCCUACGGGAGGCAGCAGUGAGGAAUAUUGGUCAAUGGGCGAGAGCCUGAACCAGCCAAGUAGCGUGCAGGAUGACGGCCCUAUGGGUUGUAAACUGCUUUUAUAAGGCAAUAAAGUGAGCCUCGUGAGGCUUUUUGCAUGUACCUUAUGAAUAAGGACCGGCUAAUUCCGUGCCAGCCGCCGCAGUAA
This 508-nucleotide ribosomal RNA is filed under the name uncultured bacterium. RNAcentral's name for it is "partial 16S ribosomal RNA". It matches the Rfam family "Bacterial small subunit ribosomal RNA", at positions 28 to 523 of the family's 1533-position model. The record is from RNAcentral.